Molecule: long non-coding RNA, 701 nt
Organism: Tigriopus californicus
Lineage: Eukaryota; Metazoa; Arthropoda; Copepoda; Harpacticoida; Harpacticidae
Exons: 2
Source: RefSeq, a predicted model, not a curated record
ACUGCGAUUAAGUCAAAAUUCCAUUGUUGAUGAUUAGCAUGGCUCAAUCCAAGACGAAAAUCCAACCCUGAGCCCCUGAAUACGUAUCGAGUAUUUGCUAUUUUGGACAUCCAGCGCCCGAUGAUAGAUAGUGGCUCGACAACAAGGUGAAAGAUGUAAUUUGAGCCCAGAUCCGAGAAAAAGUGGAUCAAUCAAGACGUCCAGACCUACUGACUUUGCAAACCGUGCUUGACAUGAAAUUUGAUGUGUUUGGUAUUAGGGAAACUUGAUUCAUAAUUGUAAUGAAAAUAAGCCUCCCUUUUUAUUAACGAAUGCCCUAUGGGCCAUGGCCCUUCCUUCAACUUCUAAACAUCUUUGACUAUGGCCCAUUACAGCGAAAGUCAAGCCCGCUCGAUGACCAACUCACAGAUUCGGUCCAAGCUCUGCCGUAUUCAUAUCCAUCCACAACCCAUGGAUUCAUCCAUGUUUGCUCAUUGAUCAGUACUCACUUUGGUUCCCCCUCCGCGAACUUUGGUGUACAUGUAGAUUCCGGCCAAAGCCCCCAGCGUGGCAAUGGACGUGCGAUAGCGACCUUUGAAGGUGGUCGUGUUAAAGUAGGCCUCGUUACCACCGGUCAUCUUGAAGAGUUCAAGUGAUCCACGAACAGAAGGAACCAAUCAAACACCUGAAACGGAAUGCAAUCCCACAGCUCAAUCGCUCGU